RNAcentral lists this long non-coding RNA (1681 nucleotides) under Triticum aestivum (bread wheat). RNAcentral's name for it is "long non-coding RNA (TAES_LNC018434)". Lineage: Eukaryota; Viridiplantae; Streptophyta; Magnoliopsida; Poales; Poaceae. The record is from RNAcentral.
CUCGCACUUCUUCCCGGUGAUUUCUUCCACCCCAGGCAAGCCACACCCUCCAUUUGCAUGAUUGCAAUGCAGUGACAUGUUUCUUUAUUUAAACUUGUUUAAAAUAUUGUUCUAGCUACUUGUGAUUUGUUCAUGGCAUUUCUCGGAGUAUUGUUUUGAUCUUGCUAUUGCCAUGAUAUUGCUUGGAGUUCUAGGACUUUUAUUUUGAUGAUUAUGUGGAUGACAUGUGCCUUUGGAUUCUUAGUGGCUAUUAUGAUUAUUUCCAUUAUGGUAUCUGUUAUUAUACUUUGGAAUAUUACUUUGGAUAUCAUGCUGCCUUUGGAUUAUUAGUGCUCAGUAUGAUUAUUUUCAUGAUGCUAGUUGAUGUUCUGUUGCUUGGAGUAUUAUUUUGGGAGAUGAUGUUUACAUGUGGAUCUUAGCCGAAUAGCUUUAUUCUUGUUAUUGGAGUAGUAGGAUUAUGGUUUUCGGAUUCAUCAUGACAGUAGUGGUGUGCUACUCUUGGAGUAUUUUCAGAUGACGAUAUUAUGCUUGGAUUAUUUGUUGGAUAUUGCUAUGACUUGGAUUCUAGGUUGAUAGAUGAUAUCGGAGUAUCAGUCUUUCCAGUUAUAUUUUUGGGGAUAAAUUCCGUCAUUAAGUUGGUCAGGUGCCACCGAACCGGGCUUUCUCCAGUGCAACCACAUUUGCCUUUAUGGGAAGGCCCUAAUGCGGUCUAUUGUCGUGCCUCUCGCCGGUGCCUCCAACUAGGGAAGGUUAUGGCGUGCGGUACCUUGGCCCGGUAAGCAAACAUAACCUUGUGUGCCCGUUGUUGUUGUUGUACCCGGGUUGUCCCUGUGUGGGACCAUUUAUUGUUUUGGCCACGACGGUGGCCGUUGUGUCUUUGGUAGACAUAGGGCCACCCAAGACUAACCCAGUGGGGAGUGAGUCGGAGUGGCCGGGAGAGUGUCAUGGCAGUAGAUCGGUUCUGUCGGAACGUCGUUGGUCCACCCGAAUGGGAGUGCGAGGCCAUGGGUUCCGUGGUGUGGUACAGUGCGCUACCUCUGCAGAGUGUAUACUAAAUCUAUCGAUAGCCGCGUCCUCGGUCAUGGGCAUGGGUUCGUACUAGGUCACACCGUUCGAUCAACACUCACAUGACGGAAUGACUUAUAGGUGAUUUAUAUGUUGAUAUGUUGAGCAGUACAGACUGGCAGGAUGUUGAUCAUGAUGUUGGAGACCAAGUGUUGGUCAUGGUAGUGAUCGCCUGAAAGAUCACAGUUUGGUUUUGAUCACGAGGUGAUCGAGAUGGUAUAUUGCUUCGCCGGUUAGCCAAGAGAGAUAUGGUUAUGGAGAUCUGAGAUGGUGAUUUAUCAGCAUUGUAGUAGUUUCAUAUCAUGCUUAGCAGUUGCUGUUGUAUCAUGGUAGAUGUUAAUUUAAUUAACCUGCUUAAUGCUAUGUUGUUGUUUUGCCUUGAUGCUUCUGGUUGUUAUGAGCUUGCAAGUACAUUCAAUGUACUGACCUGGCGUGUCAUGCCAGAUUGCAGGUGAUGCCAUGAUUGCUUGAUUGCUUGUCGAGGUUGCCGUGCGUGCGAGCUAGAUCGUGUCCCAGCCAGAGUCCCUGCGGAGUGGAGUUCACCACCUUCGUCGUUGUUCCGCUGCUAGAAGUAUUCCGCUGCUACGAGUUGUUCUGCUGCUAGCAUAGAGCAAGU